Molecule: ribosomal RNA, 462 nt
Filed under: uncultured bacterium
Lineage: Bacteria
Description: partial 16S ribosomal RNA
Rfam family: Bacterial small subunit ribosomal RNA
Source: RNAcentral
GACGAACGCUGGCGGCGUGCUUAACACAUGCAAGUCGAACGGUAAGGCCUUUUGGGGUACACGAGUGGCGAACGGGUGAGUAACACGUGGGUGAUCUGCCCUGCACUUCGGGAUAAGCCCGGGAAACUGGGUCUAAUACCGGAUAGGACUGCGCGGUGCAUGCCGUGUGGUGGAAAGAUUUAUCGGUGCAGGAUGGGCCCGCGGCCUAUCAGCUUGUUGGUGGGGUAAUGGCCUACCAAGGCGACGACGGGUAGCCGGCCUGAGAGGGCGACCGGCCACACUGGGACUGAGACACGGCCCAGACUCCUACGGGAGGCAGCAGUGGGGAAGAUUGCACAAUGGGCGCAAGCCUGAUGCAGCGACGCCGCGUGAGGGAUGACGGCCUUCGGGUUGUAAACCUCUUUCAGCAGGGACGAAGCGUGAGUGACGGUACCUGCAGAAGAAGCACCGGCCAACUACGUG